Molecule: ribosomal RNA, 126 nt
Filed under: Escherichia coli
Lineage: Bacteria; Pseudomonadati; Pseudomonadota; Gammaproteobacteria; Enterobacterales; Enterobacteriaceae
Description: partial 16S ribosomal RNA
Rfam family: Bacterial small subunit ribosomal RNA
Source: RNAcentral
AAAUUGAAGAGUUUGAUCAUGGCUCAGAUUGAACGCUGGCGGCAGGCCUAACACAUGCAAGUCGAACGGUAACAGAAAGCAGCUUGCUGCUUUGCUGACGAGUGGCGGACGGGUGAGUAAUGUCUG